UUGCUCCUCCUAGUCUGGUGUUUGUGAUCGUCCUACUCUUAAUUCUACAUUGAUUUUUUUUUUUAAAGAACUAUGAGAUUGAGCACUGUUCGUUAUCUUCACGUUUUAUCACCCCUACUAACGUGUUCGGAACAUAUUCUUUAUCGGUGUUAAGUAGAGCGUAAAAUCAAAGACUAUCGAAUGAAAUAUAAUCUCGCUGCUCCGAGACUCCAACGCGAGCUACCUGAGACCCGGUGAAUUUUCUACCGGAUAUGGAUGUGCUUUAAGGAAUUCCAGUGUUAAUUAUACUUUUUGGGGACUUUGAGUGAUUCACCACCCUUUGAACAAAUGUAUUUUGAGAUCCUCAAAGGAAUCCUAGAUUUGUCAAGAAGCCUUUUUUUAAUUGCUGCCCAUCAAAUAGUACUGUGUCUUGCAUGUGUAAAUUAGAUUCAUUUUGAGGAAAUAGGUGGUGUGCAGUGCACAUUCCUAAAUGAAUUCAUCAGUUUACAUUAAGGAUCUACCUUCAAAUCCUGUAAUCUGGGAUGCUCUAAAGUGCAUGUCACAGACUAAAGUUAUAAAAAUAACUUCCAAGAAUUUUUAAGAAAUUGUUAUAUACAUGUAUACUGAUAUUGAAUUAAAUUUUAUAAAAUUUCA
This is a long non-coding RNA of Ostrea edulis (European flat oyster), 633 nucleotides long. RefSeq lists it as uncharacterized. The record is from RefSeq and is a predicted model, not a curated record. Lineage: Eukaryota; Metazoa; Mollusca; Bivalvia; Ostreida; Ostreidae. The transcript is spliced from 4 exons.